RNAcentral lists this ribosomal RNA (658 nucleotides) under uncultured Bacilli bacterium. RNAcentral's name for it is "bacterial SSU rRNA". It matches the Rfam family "Bacterial small subunit ribosomal RNA", at positions 74 to 717 of the family's 1533-position model. The record is from RNAcentral. Lineage: Bacteria; Bacillati; Bacillota; Bacilli.
UGGUGCUUGCACUAGAGAAACUUAGCGGCGAACGGGUGAGUAACACGUAAAGAACCUGCCUCAUAGACGGGGACAACUAUUGGAAACGAUAGCUAAUACCGGAUAACAGCAUAAAUCGCAUGAUAUAUGUUUAAAAGUUGGUUUCGGCUAACACUAUGAGAUGGCUUUGCGGUGCAUUAGCUAGUUGGUGGGGUAAAGGCCUACCAAGGCGACGAUGCAUAGCCGACCUGAGAGGGUGAUCGGCCACACUGGGACUGAGACACGGCCCAGACUCCUACGGGAGGCAGCAGUAGGGAAUCUUCCGCAAUGGGCGAAAGCCUGACGGAGCAACGCCGCGUGAGUGAAGAAGGUUUUCGGAUCGUAAAGCUCUGUUGUAAGAGAAGAACGAGCGUGAGAGUGGAAAGUUCACACUGUGACGGUAACUUACCAGAAAGGGACGGCUAACUACGUGCCAGCAGCCGCGGUAAUACGUAGGUCCCGAGCGUUAUCCGGAUUUAUUGGGCGUAAAGCGAGCGCAGGCGGUUAGAUAAGUCUGAAGUUAAAGGCUGUGGCUUAACCAUAGUACGCUUUGGAAACUGUUUAACUUGAGUGCAGAAGGGGAGAGUGGAUUCCAUGUGUAGCGGUGAAAUGCGUAGAUAUAUGGAGGACACCGGUGGCG